UGCUCAAUUUUUCUUACCAACAGUUUAAUUGCCGUUAUAAAAGCAUCACUUCUUUUGUAAGACCCUAAUGUUUAUCUCUCUUGCAAACAAAAAAUUACAUUGAUUUUAUAAAACUGUUUAUAAGCAAGUUUUAAUGACUUCGUUUCGUAGUGGACAUUGUGUUAGGGACACACCUUCUAAAAUAAAAAAUCCUAUUUUAAAAGCUGUUUAUUGAAAUAUGUUGGCUCUAAACAUACUUUUGAAUUAUUAAAGAACUUAUAUUAAGUAAAAUUAAUAUUUAUUUUUACAUUUUUUUACGAUAUUUGAGAGUAUGAAUGUUGAACAGGCGGUCUAGGGACAU
RNAcentral lists this long non-coding RNA (340 nucleotides) under Mytilus galloprovincialis (Mediterranean mussel). Lineage: Eukaryota; Metazoa; Mollusca; Bivalvia; Mytilida; Mytilidae. The record is from RNAcentral.